GUAAGAAAAAGCAAACUCAAACGCGGGUUGUUGUUCUUCCUCUCUCUCCCUCUCUCUCUCUCUCGGCGGCGCCUUCUCUCUCCCAAACUCGCAGGUAAAGCUUCCUCCGAUUUCAAUAUUCCUCUUGCAUACCUUCCCCUCUGCUUUCGUUUCUCACCUCAGCCCUUCUCCUUCUCCUCAAGGUUUGUGUCGAUCUCGAAGCUCAGAGAGAUUCCAAUGACCUAAUUGACUCAGUUCUCGUAAAAAAAAAACCUCCAAAUUUCUCAGAGAUUCUAUCCACUCGUUGCGUCAGAUUCUCCUCUCUGACGCAAAAACCCCUAAUUUCGUGGGGCCUUUUGCUUUGCUCACUCUCCGAAUCGAACGAAGCUGUCUUCUGAAAAUUAGGGUUUCUAAUUUGAGCUGUAUCUGUCAGAAUAAAACCAGGGAAGUGAGGGAAGGAGGAUUCAAUCGAGGACAAUCAAGGCGUGAAAUUAGGGUUUUUGAAAGCAUAUGUAUGGCUUCAGAGCCUGUUAACGGAGAAGGAACCGAUGGGGCGAGAGAGAAGCAAAAGAUUAAAGUUUAUACGAGAAAAGGUAAAGGUCAGAGGAAACUGUCUCCGUUCUUCGCCUUUGACGGUGAUAGCCGCGAGAAACCAGAGGGGGAUUCAGAAAACAAUCGUCAGAGUCCUCCUCAAACUCUAGCUCAAGAGUCUCAGAAGAGUCCUGUGUCCAGUGUAGCUACUGAAGCACCUUCUGAGAAGGUGAUUGACAAGCCUCUUGUGGAAGCAUUGACUCAAGCAGAACCUCAGGAUGAUGCUAGUUUGGCCCCUACUGAUAAGAACGUUAUUCAACCUGUCUCUGAUCCUUUGGGUCAAGAAGAUGUGAACACUGUUACAGGAGACAAGUCUGUGGAAGUACCUUCUCAAAGCAAUACAGGUCAAGAUGAUGUCAAUACAGUGGUUGUUUAUGAGAACUCUAUCAAGGAAAGCCUUGCUCAAGAAGAUGUUACUGCCAUGAUUGUUGACAAGAAGGCUAUUGAAGCACCUUCUCAGACCAUAUCCGCGGGAGAUGCCAAUACUGUUGUUGUUGACAAGAAUCCCAUUGAAGUGUCUUCUGAUGAAGAUGUCCACGUGGUAGAUGCAGAUAACCUAAUAAAAGAAUCUCAAAGAGAUGCCCCUGAUGCCCAGCAGCCAGCAGGGGUUACAUCUGAUUCUGCUCAGAGCAUCCACGCUACUGCUACCGAAAGCAUGCCAAUGGAGAAGGACGUAGAUGGACGCAUAAAGAUGCAUGUACCCUCCAAGUCAAAGCAAGAGAAAGAGGAGAUCAGGAAAAAGCUUGAAGACCAGCUUAACGUGGUCAGAGAUCUGGUAAAGAAGAUAGAGGACAAAGAGGGGGAGAUUGGUGCGUAUAACGACUCUCGCCUUUUGGCUAGCACUGAUAUUAAUAACGGAGGAGGAAGGAUCCUUCCAGGGUUGGCAUCUGGUGGACUUCCGCGUGAGGUCAUUAGAACACCAAGGCAUUUAAAUCAACUAAGUAUAUCAGUGUUGGAGAAUACUCAAGGAGUCAAUGAGCAUGUGGAGAAAGAGAAGAGAACACCCAAGGCAAAUCAGUUUUAUAGAACUUCGGAGUUUUUACUUGGUGACAAGCUGCCACCCGCAGAGAGUAACAAGAAAUCAAAAUCAAGCGCAAAGAAGCACGGAGGGGAGGCUGGGCAUGGUUUUAGUGCAGGCUCUAAAGUUUUCAAGAAUUGCAGUGCUCUACUAGAGAGGCUGAUGAAGCAUAAACAUGGUUGGGUGUUCAAUGCUCCUGUAGAUGUGAAGGGUCUUGGUUUGCAUGAUUACUUCGCCAUUAUCGAACACCCUAUGGAUUUGGGAACGGUCAAGUCUGCGUUGGCAAAUAAUCUGUACAAGUCGCCAAGAGAGUUUGCAGAGGAUGUUAGGCUUACUUUCCACAAUGCCAUGACAUACAACCCACCAGGACAAGAUGUCCAUAUAAUGGCGGAAGUGCUGUUACAGAUGUUUGAGGAGAGGUGGGCUGUGAUAGAGGCAGAUUAUAAUCGUCAGCUGAGAUUUGCCGCUGGUUAUGAGAUGAAUCUUCCAGCUUCUACAAUGAGGUCUAGAUUGGGUCCUACAAUGCCGCCGCCGCCCAUCAGUGUGAGUAAUACAAUGGACUGGAGUGGUCUCCCUUCUGACUUGCAGCACCCAAAACCAACAACAACGCCUGGCAGAACACCGACCAGUGCAAGGACCCCUGCUCUGAAGAAGCCAAAGGCGAACGAACCGAAUAAAAGAGAUAUGACGUAUGAAGAGAAGCAGAAGCUUAGUGGCCAGUUGCAGAAUCUGCCUCCAGAGAAACUAGAUGCGAUUGUGCAGAUUGUUAACAAAAGGAACACUGCUGUGAAGCUACGGGAUGAAGAGAUUGAAGUCGAUAUUGAUAGUGUUGAUCCGGAGACCCUGUGGGAGCUGGACAGAUUUGUAACCAACUACAAAAAGGGAUUGAGCAAGAAGAAGAGAAGAGCUGAGCUAGCCAUUCAAGCUAAAGCAGAAGCUGAGAGAAAUAGCCAGAAACAGAUGGCUCCUGCACCGGUGGCACAUGAGUUUUCUAGGGAGGGUGGCAACACAGCUAAAAAGACGCUCCCUACACAAGUACCUUCUCAAGUGGACAAACAAAACAAUGAGACGAGCAGAUCAAGUAGUUCAAGCAGCUCUUCCAGUAGUUCCAGCUCUUCUAGUGAUUCGGACAGCGAUAGCUCUUCGUCAUCUGGAUCAUGAUCAGACCUAGAGAUUACUAUACAAGAGGGCUUGGUGGUGAAAAAUAUGUAAGGGAGUUUAAAAAGAUGGAAGGUAGAGCUAGAAGAGCAUUAGGGAGGUUAAGGAUGAUGUGACGUACUGGCUUGAGGCGGUAAUAUUGGAGUGGUUUGGGGUGAUGGAAGGAAAGACUGUAUUAUAUACAUAUGACUGUUAGUAAAAAGAAAAAUCUAUUCUUAAUUUAUUUAUUUCGCUUUUAGAAUGGGUAGGAUUCUGUAGCGGUGGCUAUCUACGUUUUAGAUGUAACGGUAGGGUUGGUUUGGUUUGUCUCCGCACUUUUGUAUAUCUCUCUGCCUCUGGUCUUUGGCGGCUUUAGUUGGUUGACUGUUUCAUGCUUUUUAGUUUAGGGCUUUUGAAUCAGCAAAAAAAAGCAUCACAACAGAUUAUGGAUUCUUGAUGACUUGUGUGUAUUGUAAGGUUUUUGAAUUUUGUGACCA
Molecule: RNA transcript, 3222 nt
Organism: Brassica napus (rape)
Lineage: Eukaryota; Viridiplantae; Streptophyta; Magnoliopsida; Brassicales; Brassicaceae
Gene name: transcription factor GTE4
Exons: 5
Source: RefSeq, a predicted model, not a curated record